CAAGAUAAAAGAAGGAAGAGAUAGCAAGUAACAAGAGUAUCCCGCUGUUUGAAAAGGCUCACAGCCACAGCCUGUGUAGCUUCUUUGCCUAUAGGAGAUCUACAGUGAUAACUGGAAAUUCUGACCCACUAAAAAGACUGUUGUCUUGGGUAAGUGAGGACCAGCCAGAAAGGUUUCAGGAGCAGCAUGCAGAAAAGAGGUUGUUCUUGCAACACAUAAAAGAAAAAGAAAGGUUAUUACCCCAAAUUAAAAAGUAAUUAUUAGUUUCUUGACAAAUUUUGCCCAGGAAAGCUUGAAAGCAAUUGUUUCACCUUGCACUAAGGACAGCAAAAGGAGAAAAGGAAGAAAACAGCCAAUUUUCUUAUUCAACAGUUAGUAAGCAUUAUAAAUGUUGGAUGCAAUAGGAACUGGAAUUGAUUGUGAAAGCCUGUGUCAAAUACUGUUCAAUACUUCCAUCCUACAUUUUUGUUUUCAGUUAGUUUGCAACUUUACCAUUACCUGCAUUUGAUAAAAACUUUCCCUUGGAGUUGUCUAAGCUGGGAUAGCACUUCAUAAAUAAUUCUAUGAACCUGAGUCAAAGUCAGAUAUUAACAGCACCUCAGGUCCAAGUUUCAAAUGAAAAAUAAGGGUCAGGGCAAGCACUUUGACAAUUAAGCAUUGCUAACCUAUGGUUAAAUUUCAAAUGCCACUCUGUUAGACUUUACUAGCAAGUGCAAUAAUAUUUCCAUUGUUAUCAUAAUACACCGCUGUCAGAACAUAUCAUAUAUUUCCUUUUUGCUCUAAGUGAAAUUAUUUGUGAAAAUUUUCAUUUGAAAAUAGCUCAGCCAUUUCCAAGGACAUAUGAAGAUGGCAAGAGACUGGUCAAAAAUAACUGAGAGAAUAUGGUUUUUCACACAGGAAGAAGUAUAUCUGUGGAAAUAUUUGCCAAAACGUGCCGCAGGUGAUAAGUUAACGUAAGUUCAAACGGAGGUUGAAAUCUGUCAG
RNAcentral lists this long non-coding RNA (984 nucleotides) under Numida meleagris (helmeted guineafowl). RNAcentral's name for it is "lncRNA (ENSNMEG00000002601.1)". Lineage: Eukaryota; Metazoa; Chordata; Aves; Galliformes; Numididae. The record is from RNAcentral.